This 255-nucleotide ribosomal RNA is filed under the name uncultured bacterium. Its description in RNAcentral is "partial 16S ribosomal RNA". It matches the Rfam family "Bacterial small subunit ribosomal RNA", at positions 524 to 776 of the family's 1533-position model. The record is from RNAcentral.
UACGGGGGGGGGCAAGCGUUGUUCGGAAUUACUGGGCGUAAAGCGCGCGUAGGCGGCUUUUCAAGUCAGACGUGAAAGCCCCCAGGCUUAACCUGGGAAUUGCGUUUGAUACUGUUAGGCUAGAGUGUGGAAGGGGCUACUGGAAUUCCGUGUGUAGCGGUGAAAUGCGUAGAUAUACGGAGGAACACCAGCGGCGAAGGCGGCAUCCUGGACCGGCAUUGACGCUGAUGAGCGAAAGCUAGGGGAGCAAACGGG